UUUAAUCCCUCUUUUGGCUGGAUCGCCCUUUCGGGUUUUCAAUCCACCGGGAUACCCAUUUUUCCCUAAGCCGCCCUCGCGGGUUUCCGACUUACCGGGUGUACAAAUUAUUUUCAUUUUUUAUCCCUAAUUUUUGCCCGAACCUUUUCUUUCUGUUUUUUGGUUCGCCGGGAUGCCCUUUUUUGCCUGGACUCUUUUGUUCUUUUCGUCCAGCGGGUCAAUUUAUGCGAAGUAUUUUUUGACUACAUCUGAGUUAACAGGGGACGGAA
RNAcentral lists this long non-coding RNA (269 nucleotides) under Lathyrus oleraceus (garden pea). Its description in RNAcentral is "Pisum sativum (pea) long non-coding RNA (PSAT_LNC015603)". The record is from RNAcentral. Lineage: Eukaryota; Viridiplantae; Streptophyta; Magnoliopsida; Fabales; Fabaceae.